GUACACAUAUAUAAUUUAUUAAUAAUUUAAUGAUUUAAUGAUUGAUGAGUGAUUUCUAUGUCAAAAGGCAAAUUGUCCUGGCUUUACGCAACAGCACAUGGGGAAACCCGAUGAUGCAGUUGUGUUGAACAAAAGUUAUAUCCCACAUUAUGAUUGCAAAAACAUUUUCUUUGAACAGCCCGUAUCAAAAUGCUGCUGUAGCCCUCACUCCCUUCACCCUUGUGACCCUCCUCUUCGGUGGAGCGUUUGGGCACGACACCCAGCGAGCUCACAGCAUGAGGUAAAAUCCAGGAUGGCAAAAAGGAAGUGGAAGAUGUAUUCAGGGCCCAGGACUGUACCAAGUGUGAUAAAGUACAGAGGAUGGAUUGGCUGUUUUAAAGUUUCCAGAGUGGAAGAGAUGUCCUACCCCACACCCAGUAUGAGUAAAUGGGUUGACUGUACUUCUGCCUCACCCAGAAAACAUCACUGGUCAUAUUUUAAUAAUCCAAACCCAAACCUUUGAUUGGAUUCUGGCAUCCUUCUGCUUUCACUGCCUUCAGUCUUCACGUGAACGCACACGCAAAGCUGAACUCCCCAGGCUGAACGCUGGUCGAUGGUGGCAGCAGUUAACAGGUAAUAGGGAUUGAGAGCUGCAUGAAUCAGAACUAAUUACCUUAAAUAGCCACAGCCCCGGGCUUAUUUUUCCAGUCCACGUCUCUCCAAUUUG
Oreochromis aureus is the source of this 706-nucleotide long non-coding RNA. Lineage: Eukaryota; Metazoa; Chordata; Actinopteri; Cichliformes; Cichlidae. The record is from Ensembl.